CUUAGCAUAUCAAUAAGCGGAGGAAAAAGAAACCCACCGGGAUUGCCCUAGUAACGGCGAGUGAAGCGGCAAGAGCUCAAAUUUGAAAGCUGGCUCCUUCGGGGUCCGCAUUGUAAUUUGCAGAGGAUGCUUCGGGAGCGGUCCCCAUCUAAGUGCCCUGGAACGGGCCGUCAUAGAGGGUGAGAAUCCCGUAUGGGAUGGGGUGCCCGCGCCCGUGUGAAGCUCCUUCGACGAGUCGAGUUGUUUGGGAAUGCAGCUCUAAUUGGGUGGUAAAUUUCAUCUAAAGCUAAAUAUUGGCCGGAGACCGAUAGCGCACAAGUAGAGUGAUCGAAAGAUGAAAAGCACUUUGAAAAGAGAGUUAAACAGCACGUGAAAUUGUUGAAAGGGAAGCGCUUGCGAUCAGACUCGCUCGCGGGGUUCAGCCGGCCUUCGGGCCGGUGUACUUCCCCGCGGGCGGGCCAGCGUCGGUUUGGGCGGCCGGUCAAAGGCCCCUGGAAUGUAACGCCUCUCGGGGCGUCUUAUAGCCAGGGGUGCCCUGCGGCCUGCCCGGACCGAGGAACGCGCUUUGGCUCGGACGCUGGCAUAAUGGUCGUAAGCGACCCGUCUUGAAACACGGACCAAGGAGUCUAACAUUUACGCGAGUGUUUGGGUGUCAAACCCGUGCGCGCAGUGAAAACGAACGGAGGUGGGAACCCCUCGGGGUGCACCAUCGACCGAUCCUGAUGUUUUUGGAUGGAUUUGAGUAAGAGCGUAGCUGUUGGGACCCGAAAGAUGGUGAACUAUGCCUGAAUAGGGGGAAGCCAGAGGAAACUCUGGUGGAGGCUCGCAGCGGUUUUGACGUGCAAAUCGAUCGUCAAAUUUGGGUAUAGGGGCGAAAGACUAAUCGAACCAUCUAGUAGCUGGUUCCUGCCGA
RNAcentral lists this ribosomal RNA (913 nucleotides) under Penicillium westlingii. RNAcentral's name for it is "LSU rRNA". It matches the Rfam family "Eukaryotic large subunit ribosomal RNA", at positions 33 to 964 of the family's 3401-position model. The record is from RNAcentral. Lineage: Eukaryota; Fungi; Ascomycota; Eurotiomycetes; Eurotiales; Aspergillaceae.